GAUGAACGCUGGCGGCGUGCCUAAUACAUGCAAGUCGAGCGAACAGACGAGGAGCUUGCUCCUUUGACGUUAGCGGCGGACGGGUGAGUAACGCGUAGGUAACCUACCUAUAAGACUGGGAUAACUUCGGGAAACCGGAGCUAAUACCGGAUAAUAUUUCGAACCGCAUGGUUCGAUAGUGAAAGAUGGCUUUGCUAUCACUUAUAGAUGGACCUGCGCCGUAUUAGCUAGUUGGUAAGGUAACGGCUUACCAAGGCAACGAUACGUAGCCGACCUGAGAGAGUGAUAGGCCACACUGGAACUGAGACACGGUCAAGACGCCUACGGGAGGCAGCAGUAGGGAAUGUGACGCAAUGGGCGAAAGCCUGACGGAGCAACGCCGCGUGAGUGAUGAAGGUCUUCGGAUCGUAAAACUCUGUUAUUAGGGAAGAACAAACGUGUAAGUAACUGUGCACGUCGUGACGGUACCUAAUCAGAAAGCCACGGCUAACUACGUG
Molecule: ribosomal RNA, 497 nt
Filed under: uncultured bacterium
Lineage: Bacteria
Description: partial 16S ribosomal RNA
Rfam family: Bacterial small subunit ribosomal RNA
Source: RNAcentral